AUUGCCUCAGUAACGGCGAGUGAAGCGGCAAGAGCUCAAAUUUGAAAUCUGGCUCCUUCGGGGCCCGAGUUGUAAUUUGCAGAGGAUGCUUCGGGGGUGGUCGCCGCCUAAGUCCCCUGGAACGGGGCGUCAUAGAGGGUGAGAAUCCCGUCUUUGGUGGGCCGGCUGCUCCCGGGUGAAGCUCCUUCAACGAGUCGAGUUGUUUGGGAAUGCAGCUCUAAGCGGGUGGUAAAUUUCAUCUAAAGCUAAAUAUUGGCUGGAGACCGAUAGCGCACAAGUAGAGUGAUCGAAAGACGAAAAGUACUUUGAAAAGAGAGUUAAACAGCACGUGAAAUUGUUGAAAGGGAAGCGCUGGCUGCCAGAUUCGGCUUCAGGGGCUCACCGAGCAUGCUUGCUCGGGUACUCCCCUGGGGCCGGGUCAGCAUCGGUUCAGGCGGUCGGUCAAAGGCCCUCGGAAUGUGUCGCCUCUCGGGGCGUCUUAUAGCCGGGGGUGCAAUGCGGCCUGCCCGGACCGAGGAACGCGCUUCGGCACGGAUGCUGGCAUAAUGGCAGUCAGCGGCCCGUCUUGAAACACGGACCAAGGAGUCUAACAUCCACGCGAGUGUUCGGGUGUCAAACCCGUCCGCGCAGUGAAAGCGAACGGAGGUGAGAGCCCUUUAGGGUGCAUCAUCGACCGAUCCUGAAGUCUUCGGAUGGAUUUGAGUAGGAGCGUGGCUGUGGGGACCCGAAAGAUGGUGAACUAUGCCUGAAUAGGGUGAAGCCAGAGGAAACUCUGGUGGAGGCUCGCAGCGGUUCUGACGUGCAAAUCGAUCGUCAAAUUUGGGUAUAGGGGCGAAAGAC
This 840-nucleotide ribosomal RNA is filed under the name Spiromastix sp. IHEM 28274. Its description in RNAcentral is "partial 28S ribosomal RNA". It matches the Rfam family "Eukaryotic large subunit ribosomal RNA", at positions 74 to 931 of the family's 3401-position model. Lineage: Eukaryota; Fungi; Ascomycota; Eurotiomycetes; Onygenales; Spiromastigoidaceae. The record is from RNAcentral.